UCCGUGGCUACAGGACGAACGCUGGCGGCGUGCCUAAUACAUGCAAGUCGAGCGGAGUUGAUGAGGUGCUUGCACCUCUGAUGCUUAGCGGCGGACGGGUGAGUAACACGUAGGCAACCUGCCUGUAAGACCGGGAUAACUACCGGAAACGGUAGCUAAGACCGGAUACGCCUUGGGGUCGCAUGACGCCAAGGGGAAAGACGGAGAAAUCUGUCACUUACAGAUGGGCCUGCGGCGCAUUAGCUAGUUGGUGGGGUAACGGCCCACCAAGGCGACGAUGCGUAGCCGACCUGAGAGGGUGAUCGGCCACACUGGGACUGAGACACGGCCCAGACUCCUACGGGAGGCAGCAGUAGGGAAUCUUCCGCAAUGGACGCAAGUCUGACGGAGCAACGCCGCGUGAGUGAUGAAGGUCUUCGGAUCGUAAAGCUCUGUUGCCAAGGAAGAACGGCCGGUAGGUAACUACUACCGGAGUGACGGUACUUGAGAAGAAAGCCCCGGCUAACUACGUG
Molecule: ribosomal RNA, 512 nt
Filed under: uncultured Paenibacillus sp.
Lineage: Bacteria; Bacillati; Bacillota; Bacilli; Caryophanales; Paenibacillaceae
Description: bacterial SSU rRNA
Rfam family: Bacterial small subunit ribosomal RNA
Source: RNAcentral